CCUACGGGGGGCUGCAGUGGGGAAUAUUGGACAAUUGGGGCAACCCUGAUCCAGCCAUGCCGCGUGUGUGAAGAAGGCCCUCGGGUUGUAAAGCACUUUCAGUGAGGAAGAACGCCUGGUGGUUAAUACCCAUCAGGAAAGACAUCACUCACAGAAGAAGCACCGGCUAACUCCGUGCCAGCAGCCGCGGUAAUACGGAGGGUGCGAGCGUUAAUCGGAAUUACUGGGCGUAAAGCGCGCGUAGGUGGCUUGAUAAGCCGGUUGUGAAAGCCCCGGGCUCAACCCGGGAACGGCAUCCGGAACUGUCGAGCUAGAGUGCAGGAGAGGAAGGUAGAAUUCCCGGUGUAGCGGUGAAAUGCGUAGAGAUCGGGAGGAAUACCAGUGGCGAAGGCGGCCUUCUGGACUGACACUGACACUGAGGUGCGAAAGCGUGGGUAGCAAACAGGAUUAGAUACCCUAGUAGUC
RNAcentral lists this ribosomal RNA (465 nucleotides) under Vreelandella stevensii. RNAcentral's name for it is "partial 16S ribosomal RNA". It matches the Rfam family "Bacterial small subunit ribosomal RNA", at positions 338 to 795 of the family's 1533-position model. Lineage: Bacteria; Pseudomonadati; Pseudomonadota; Gammaproteobacteria; Oceanospirillales; Halomonadaceae. The record is from RNAcentral.